UCAUGACGCCAGGGACUGUGAGGUGUUGUUGUUUAUUUUCUUUUCUUUUCUUUCCAAUCUCACCCGGGCGGCCGCGCUACAGUUGACAAACGGCCAACUAGUUCACUCUUUACCUCUUUUCGGAUAUAGAUGAUUAAUGAUUUCUCCAAAUUAUCUUGUGACCUGGGACACUAUUAUCACAAUCAACUUUAAGAAGAGAUUAAAGGGACUACAUACAGUGGCAAAAUCAAGAAGAUUUAAGGCAAAACAGAUACAAUGUAUGAAAAAACAUAAUUUAAAACCCACCAGGAACAUUCACUGAGGAUUUAUGUGCCAAAUGUGAACAACUCUGUGAGAUGGGAGCUCUCAUUAUCCUCAUUUGCAUGAAGAGGAAAAUGAAGCACAGAAAAUUCGCUGAUCUUGAUUUAUUUGCAAAACCUGGAGGAUUCAUAUUGCUGAGAGAUUUGGUGUUCAACAAACCAUUCUAGAUGACCUGAAGGGACUCUUCCUAAGAAAUUAGAAAGAAGAUAUGGGAGGUGUGAAUCUGUAGGCGUGUGUGUGUGGCGAGGCCAGUGAGAGUAGUAUAAGG
Physeter macrocephalus (sperm whale) is the source of this 568-nucleotide long non-coding RNA. RefSeq lists it as uncharacterized. NCBI's taxonomy places the organism in Eukaryota, Metazoa, Chordata, Mammalia, Artiodactyla, Physeteridae. The transcript has 6 exons. The record is from RefSeq and is a predicted model, not a curated record.